AAGCGUUGUCCGGAUUUAUUGGGGCGUAAAGGGAACCGCAGGCGGUUUUUUAAGUCUGAUGUGAAAGCCCUUCGGCUUAACCCGAAGUCAUGCAUUGGAAACUGAAAGACUUGAGUGCAGAAGAGGAGAGUGGAACUCCAUGUGUAGCGGUGAAAUGCGUAGAUAUAUGGAAGACCACCAGUGGCGAAAGCGGCUCUCUGGUCUGUAACUGACGCUGAGGUUCGAAAGUGUGGGUAGCAACCAGGAUUAGAUACCCUGGUAGUCCACACCGUAAACGAUGACUGCUAAGUGUUGGAGGGUUUCCGCCCUUCGGUGCUGCAGCUAACGCAUUAAGCAUUCCGCCUGGGGAGUACGACCGCAAGGUUGAAACUCAAAGGAAUUGACGGGGGCCCGCACAAGCGGUGGAGCAUGUGGUUUAAUUCGAAGCAACGCGAAGAACCUUACCAGGUCUUGACAUCUUCUGACAGCCUAAGAGAUUAGGUGUUCCCUUCGGGGACAGAAUGACAGGUGGUGCAUGGUUGUCGUCAGCUCGUGUCGUGAGAUGUUGGGUUAAGUCCCGCAACGAGCGCAACCCUUAUUAUUAGUUGCCAGCAUUAAGUUGGGCACUCUAGUGAGACUGCCGGUGACAAACCGGAGGAAGGUGGGGAUGACGUCAAAUCAUCAUGCCCCUUAUGACCUGGGCUACACACGUGCUACAAUGGACGGUACAACGAGUCGCGAAACCGCGAGGUUUAGCUAAUCUCUUAAAGCCGUUCUCAGUUCGGAUUGUAGGCUGCAACUCGCCUACAUGAAGUCGGAAUCGCUAGUAAUCGCGGAUCAGCAUGCCGCGGUGAAUACGUUCCCGGGCCUUGUACACACCGCCCGUCACACCAUGAGAGUUUGUAACGACCCAAAGCCGGUGAGCGUAACCUUUAUGAGAGGCAGCCGUCUAAGCAUGGACAGAUGGUUGA
This 950-nucleotide ribosomal RNA is filed under the name Liquorilactobacillus mali. RNAcentral describes it as "bacterial SSU rRNA". It matches the Rfam family "Bacterial small subunit ribosomal RNA", at positions 536 to 1478 of the family's 1533-position model. Lineage: Bacteria; Bacillati; Bacillota; Bacilli; Lactobacillales; Lactobacillaceae. The record is from RNAcentral.